UCGUGACCUGACCAAAACAGACCGCGCACGCGUCAUCUAGCCUGCCGGCGGCGGCACCGUCCGUCGCUUGGCCAAAGUCCUCGAUAACCUCCUCUCCUCGGAGCGGGGGCUCGGGGUAAAAGAACCCACGGCGCCAAAGGCGUCAAGGAACACUGUGCCUAACCCGGGGACGCGGUUGGCUUGCUAGUCGCCCCCCGUGUUGCAAUGCUAUUUAAUCCACACGACUCUCGGCAACGGAUAUCUCGGCUCUCGCAUCGAUGAAGAACGUAGCGAAAUGCGAUACCUGGUGUGAAUUGCAGAAUCCCGCGAACCAUCGAGUCUUUGAACGCAAGUUGCGCCCGAGGCCACCUGGCCGAGGGCACGCCUGCCUGGGCGUCACGCCAAAUACGCUCCCACACCCUCAUCGGGYAGUGGGAUGCGGCAUUUGGCCCCCCGUAACGCAAGUGGCGGUGGGCCGAAGAUGCGGCUGCCGGCGUAUCGUGCCGGACACAGCGCGUGGUGGGCGACCUCGCUUUACUUACCGCAGUGCAUCCGGCCCGUAGCCGACGUGAUGGCCUUGAYAGACCCUAUAAACGAAGCGCAUGACGCUUCGACC
RNAcentral lists this unclassified non-coding RNA (595 nucleotides) under Arctopoa eminens. RNAcentral describes it as "sequence contains ITS1, 5.8S rRNA gene and ITS2". The stretch from base 223 to 378 matches the Rfam family "5.8S ribosomal RNA". Lineage: Eukaryota; Viridiplantae; Streptophyta; Magnoliopsida; Poales; Poaceae. The record is from RNAcentral.